Non-coding RNA from Camellia sinensis, 964 nucleotides. The record is from RefSeq and is a predicted model, not a curated record. NCBI's taxonomy places the organism in Eukaryota, Viridiplantae, Streptophyta, Magnoliopsida, Ericales, Theaceae.
UUCAUACUUUCUUUUUCAUCCUUGAUGUGUUCCUUGCAGAUUUUAGAGGCCUUGCUACCUAACAGUAUGAUUGUUCCUUCAGCUUUUGAAACAGUUGGGCACAUUGCUCAUCUGAACCUGAGGGAUGAACAUCUUCCACACAAGAAGCUUAUUGCAAAGGUAGUCUUGGAUAAGAACAAGCCAAAGAUACAAACAGUUGUCAAUAAGAUUGAUGCCAUUCAUAAUGAUUAUAGGACGAUGCAGCUUGAAGUUUUAGCUGGAAAUCGUUCCCUUGUGACUAUAGUUGUUGAGAAUGGACUGUGUUUUCAUGUUGAUUUGGCAACAGUGUAUUGGAAUUCAAGGCUAGCAACUGAAAGGCAGAGGCUUCUGAAUUGCUUCACAUGUUAUGAUGUUGUUUGUGAUGUUUUUGCUGGGGUUGGUCCUAUAGCUAUAUCUGCAGGAAGAAAAGUGAAACAUGUAUUUGCUAAUGAUUUAAACCCCUUUGCGGUUGAAUAUCUGGAAAGGAAUUGUGUCCUCAACGAACUUGAGAGGAAGAUAGAAGUUUUUAACAUGGAUGGAAGGAGGUUCAUUGAUGCUAUGUUUGCAAGUCAAAAAGCUCAAUCCAUCAAACAAGUGGUUAUGAAUUUGCCAAAUGACGCUGCAGAGUAUCUAGAUGUAUUCAGGGGAAUAUUUAGAACAAAGCCCAAGUAGAGAGAAAUUACCUUGCCAAAGAUCCAUGUUUAUGGAUUCUCAAAAGCAACGUCAAAUAUAUGGAUGAUGGAUGAUCUCGUGCACGAAGCUAAAUUGUACAAGACUACUUGGCAGUAUAAGCAUUUUUGGGAGGAUUAAAUAUUAUUGGAUGGAUGUGUAUGGAUAACAAAAUUAGUAGUUUUAUUUGUUGAUAGCUGCGCAUGAAUAACAAAUAGUUAUGUUUCAAUUUGUUAUGCUAGAUGGAUGUGACUUGUGAAUGAAAACUUGAAUAGUU